GAUGAACGCUGGCGGCGUGCCUAAUACAUGCAAGUCGAGCGAACGGACGCGAAGCUUGCUUUUCUGAUGUUAGCGGCGGACGGGUGAGUAACACGUGUAUCACCUACCUAUAAGACUGGGAUAACUUCGGGAAACCGGAGCUAAUACCGGAUAAUAUUUUGCACCGCAUGGUUCAAAAGUGAAAGACGGUCUUGCUGUCACUUAUAGAUGGUUCCGGGCUGCAUUAGCUAGUUGGUAAGGUAACGGCCUACCAAGGCAACGAUGCGUAGCCGACCUGGGAGGGUGAUCGGCCACACGGGAACGGAAACACGGUCAAGACUCCUACGGGAGGCAGCAGUAGGGAAUCGGCCGCAAUGGGCGAAAGCCUGACGGAGCAACGCCGCGUGAGAGAUGAAGGUCUUCGGAUCGUAAAACUCUGUUAUUAGGGAAGAACAGAUGUGUAAGGAACUGUGCACAUCUUGACGGUACCUAAUCAGAAAGCCACGGCUAACUACGUG
This 497-nucleotide ribosomal RNA is filed under the name uncultured bacterium. RNAcentral describes it as "partial 16S ribosomal RNA". It matches the Rfam family "Bacterial small subunit ribosomal RNA", at positions 28 to 507 of the family's 1533-position model. The record is from RNAcentral.